UACGUAGGGUGCGAGCGUUGUCCGGAAUUAUUGGGCGUAAAGGGCUCGUAGGCGGUUUGUCACGUCGGGAGUGAAAACUCAGGGCUUAACCCUGAGCCUGCUUCCGAUACGGGCAGACUAGAGGUAUGCAGGGGAGAACGGAAUUCCUGGUGUAGCGGUGAAAUGCGCAGAUAUCAGGAGGAACACCGGUGGCGAAGGCGGUUCUCUGGGCAUUACCUGACGCUGAGGAGCGAAAGUGUGGGGAGCGAAC
This 250-nucleotide ribosomal RNA is filed under the name uncultured bacterium. RNAcentral describes it as "partial 16S ribosomal RNA". It matches the Rfam family "Bacterial small subunit ribosomal RNA", at positions 524 to 773 of the family's 1533-position model. The record is from RNAcentral.